UACGUAGGGUGCUAGCGUUGUUCGGAAUCAUUGGGCGUAAAGCGCGUGUAGGCGGUUAGUAAAGUCGGGUGUGAAAUCCCUGGGCUCAACCGAGGAAGUGCAUCCGAAACUAAUUAGCUAGAGAGUGGUAGAGGGAGGUGGAAUUCCGUGUGUAGAGGUGAAAUUCGUAGAUAUACGGAGGAAUACCGGUGGCGAAGGCGGCCUCCUGGACCAUUUCUGACGCUGAGACGCGAAAGCGUGGGGAGCAAACAGG
RNAcentral lists this ribosomal RNA (253 nucleotides) under Myxococcales bacterium. RNAcentral's name for it is "partial 16S ribosomal RNA". It matches the Rfam family "Bacterial small subunit ribosomal RNA", at positions 524 to 776 of the family's 1533-position model. The record is from RNAcentral. RNAcentral also lists the same sequence under 1 other name. Lineage: Bacteria; Pseudomonadati; Myxococcota; Myxococcia; Myxococcales.